Molecule: ribosomal RNA, 110 nt
Filed under: uncultured eukaryote
Lineage: Eukaryota
Description: partial small subunit ribosomal RNA
Rfam family: Eukaryotic small subunit ribosomal RNA
Source: RNAcentral
GUCGCUCCUACCGAUUGAGUGAUCCGGUGAAUAACUCGGACUGAUGCAGUGCUCAGCUUCUGGACGUUGCAUUGGAAAGUUUAGUGAACCUUAUCACUUAGAGGAAGGAG